Molecule: long non-coding RNA, 649 nt
Organism: Tympanuchus pallidicinctus (lesser prairie-chicken)
Lineage: Eukaryota; Metazoa; Chordata; Aves; Galliformes; Phasianidae
Exons: 3
Source: RefSeq, a predicted model, not a curated record
UAUGUAUUUCUUUUUUCAAAAAAAGUGAAGACUCCUGUUUGGAGACAUGAAGAAAAGUGAGACAAGACAUCUACUCUGAUUUCUGUGCAGCAUUUGAGCUUGGGAAGAUAUGGAAUUCUACUAAAAUGAGAUUAUAUAUAAGCAGUUCUUCACGCUUCAUUGCUUGAAUGAGCCAGGAGUUAUUCUGAGUUCUGAGUCCCAGGUGCAGUGCCUUCUGACUACCAAAUAUGAUUUUCUAAAAGGGAAGAAAGAGCAGUGAAUUGAAACUACAACAACCUGUUCUGUGUGGUCUGAGUACAGCCUUGUAAUAGAGAAGAGCAAAACAAAUUAACAGUCAGGGUGGAGGCAGAAGAUCCUGUCCAGGCACACAAUGACAACGAAGAGCUUGUUUGUGAGUCAGGCAACAGCUUCCACUGCUGGUUCUGUUUCUGCCUUUGUGAACAAAUGUGGGAAGCUCUCUGCAUUCAGAAGGAUUGCACUGCUGAGCUUUACAAGACAUUAAACUGCAUACCAGCGGGAAUAGACGCUUUCUGUUUUCCUUAAGUGGGUCUUCUGCGCGGAGUCAGUGAUUGCCUUUCUUUGAAGUUGCCAGCUGAAUUCUGAAGACAUUGCAAGAGAGCAGUGUGUUUUGCUGGGCCAAGAGCACAAA